RNAcentral lists this transfer RNA (86 nucleotides) under Clostridiales bacterium. RNAcentral describes it as "tRNA-Leu". It matches the Rfam family "tRNA". From Rfam's summary of the family: Transfer RNA (tRNA) molecules are approximately 80 nucleotides in length. The record is from RNAcentral. Lineage: Bacteria; Bacillati; Bacillota; Clostridia; Eubacteriales.
GCCGAAGUGGUGGAAUGGCAGACGCGACGGACUCAAAAUCCGUUGGUAGUGAUACCGUGUGGGUUCAAGUCCCACCUUCGGCACCA